AAGUCGUAACAAGGUAACCGUAGGUGAACCUGCGGUUGGAUCAUUAGUAAAACUUUUGGGAACUCUGUUCCUGAACACUGUGUGCACCAUUGUCUGUCUCUGGCGGAACCAGGAGCAGUUUGCGAGGUUCUGAGGCUCUCUGUGCGUCCGGAAACGGGCUGCCGUGGAGUUGAUGGACUCGGUGAGCUCUCCCUCCGCCGAAUGUUUUUGAACCAACCCAUGUCUGUAACGUUUUUGUCUGAUCUUGGUUUCUUGGUCUGUCACCCUCUGGGUGUGCGGCUGAAAUCUUUAAAACAACUUUUGACAACGGAUCUCUUGGCUCUC
RNAcentral lists this unclassified non-coding RNA (324 nucleotides) under fungal sp. Its description in RNAcentral is "partial internal transcribed spacer region". The stretch from base 1 to 46 matches the Rfam family "Eukaryotic small subunit ribosomal RNA", at positions 1786 to 1831 of the family's 1831-position model. The record is from RNAcentral. Lineage: Eukaryota; Fungi.